This 5258-nucleotide unclassified non-coding RNA is filed under the name Neodiprion lecontei (redheaded pine sawfly). RNAcentral describes it as "rING finger protein 17, transcript variant X1". The record is from RNAcentral. Lineage: Eukaryota; Metazoa; Arthropoda; Insecta; Hymenoptera; Diprionidae.
CGAACAUCAGCGAAUGCCUUCCGUGAAAUCAGCUGUAAGCAGCGUGAAGUGUGCGCUUUAAGACGAUAACUACCGCGUACCCGUACAGUUACGAACAUUUCCGAUCGUGUGAACAGUGUUGAAUGAACUGGACAAAUAUUUGAAAAAUUUAAGUUCGGGAUUCAGAUGGCAGUGGCUUAACAUGUACGUCCGUAAGCCUACCGUUGAGUGUGGUAACCCCCAACACUACGCAUUGCGCGAGACGAUGUAGGACCACGAGUGCAAAAGUGUUUGAAAGAGUAAUUGUACAUCGUGUAAAUGCAGUACAAUCAAAGUGUUAAUUUGCGAAUAAAAAUGCAUUCGAUUCUUCAGACAAAACUGAAAUACUCAACAUGUGCCAACUGCAAACACACCUUCUCGUUUCGAGGAACACAUCAGUUUCGCGGAAAGACUCCGCUACUACUACAAUGUGGACACGCGAUAUGCGAGAUAUGUGUCAAGACUUGUACGACAAAGAUGUGUGGAAUUUGUGGCACAAUUUUUCAACCAAAUACCAACGAGCAAGCCAAUUUUUCACCUAACUUAUAUACCUUGGGGUUAAUUACUGCAAGUCAAUCCGCAGGAUUGAAUUGCGUUGAGCCAAAUAUUACUUUUCAGCAAUCGGCGGCGGCUCGACACAAAAAAUCUUUGAGUGAAAAUAUAGAGCAUUGUUCAGAAUGCGGACUCAAGGCAGAUUUUCGAUGUCGGCAGUGCAACGUUUUUUUCUGCAACUUGUGUUACACAAAGAUUCAUGGAAGAGCUCUGCAGAGUCAUCAGAAAGUGUCUUUGAUAGAAGAUAGUCACGACUUCUGGAAAUUAUUAUCAAAUGAGUGUCACGUCCAUCCCAAAGAAAGCGUCCAAUUUCAUUGUCAAAAAUGUAACGUAUCAGCCUGCACACACUGCCUGCUUCUCUCUCAUCGAGAUCACAGUAUAGUCACUCAGUCGGAGAAGAAUCAGGAGUUGAAACCGCAGCUUCAGGAUGUAAUCGAGAAAUUAACUGAGAUGUUGCUGCGGGUGAAACAGACUGAAAAGAAAUUGUCGAAACCUCUACCCGUCCUCGACACAUCAUACGGCAGUGAUACGGAUAGAGAAAAAGUCGAAGCCGCACUUAUCCAACAUUUUACUUACCUACACGGUGUUUUGCAAAAUAUUGAACACCGUUUGAUCAACCAGCUACAGGAGCAGCAGAAUUUUGUUGGAAGUAAUAUUGCCGCGAUAAAGGAACGACUAAAAGAACAGAAAAAUGAAAUUGAAAAUGCAUUGAAUGCAGGAACAGUAGCAUUACAAGAAAGUGAUUCUGCCGUAAAUAUGACAGCAAUUAUCGAUAAACUAGAGCAGAUUUUAGAUUUGCCUUGUCAUCUUUUUCGUAACUCUGUCCCCGGCGAGAAAUUUUCACUGCAUAUCGACGAAACCAUAACUGAAUCUCUCAAGGAACACUGCUGGGUUGAAGUCCCACCUAUUCCGAAUUAUUGCUUAUUAAAGACUGAAGAAUUGCCAGAAGACUACGAAAUAGAACCGAUUAAUCGCGAGGAAAUCACAUUACCAAAAAAGCCUGGGAUACCUACUUUGAAAUCGUCUCCGAUAAAUUUGAAUAGAAGUUUAACAGCCAUCAGUACUUCUUCACUAUUAGCAUCUGAUCCAAACAUGAACAACGGUCUUAUGGAAGGUGUUAGUGAGAAUGUUACAAUUCCGUACAUCAAGGAUCCAUCGUAUUUUUAUACUCAACCAUUGUCCCGUAGCUCAGAAUUGGUUCAACUGCACAAAGCACUCGCGAAACAAGCAGCUACUUCAGCCUUACCUACAGAAUUAGAAUUGAAUAAAUUAUAUCUGGUUCAGUACGGAAAUGAUAUGAAAUGGUAUCGGGGUCGUAUCGUAAAGCUGUAUUUGGAUAAAAAUGGUUCUCAGGUCGGUGACGUUUUUUACAUAGACUAUGGGAAUACGGAAAUUUUAGUUCCCCUUUCUAGAAUGAGAAAUAUGACGGUACAAAGUUCCCUCGUACCUGUUAUGGCCAGACUGUGCGCUCUGUACGACAUUGUCCCAAAAGAUGGUCAGUGGUCAAUAGAUGCUAACAAAGCUAUGUACGAAAUGGUCGGCGGUAAAUCGCAUACAGUCAUGCACGUGUAUAAAGUGUGCAACGGUAUUUGUCAUGUCGACAUUACAAAAAUAUCGGCAGGUGAUGGGGAUCGUCCUGUUUCGAUUCGGGAUGCUCUUAUCUUUCUGGAAUACGGCUGUUUCAUAACAAACGAAAGAUUGAAGAGAACUAAUCCCGAAUCAUUGAGGAAAUUCUUUGAAGAAGAAAUAGCGAUUGAAAAUUCUUACGACGUUUAUGCGACUUAUAUAGAGUCGCCAGAUUGUUUAUACGUACAAAAGAUCGGCGAUGGUCAGAUGCAUUUGACAAAACUGACAAACGACAUGACGAUCGAAUAUGGAAAGAUCGGAAUAAAUAAAGGGAUAAUUUAUACACCACAAAUAGGUAUGCCUUGUGCUGUGUUGUCCAAUGAUGGUAUGUGGUAUCGAGGAAGAGUCACUAACUUACUUGGAAAUCGGAAAGUGGAAGUGUUCUCUGUUGAUAUUGGAUGUAAACGUGAAUAUGAGUAUGACCAAAUCAGAAGGCUCCAUAAUCAAUUUAUGUCUCUCACUGCUUUGGCAUUCAAAAUAUCACUGAAGGACGUCGUACCUGUGAAUGACAGCGAAACAAUCUUGGAGACACAGAAAUUUAUGAUCGAAACCUUGGAAUCUCAAAUGUUAAAAAUAUUUGUAUUCUCAAAGGAAAGUGAUUGCUUUAAAGUUGCUCUUUACAUCCCAAUGGAAAAUAACGAUGUCAACUUCAACGCUAUGUUAGUUGAAAAAGGAUAUGCCAUUAGCACUGGGACUAGCUCAAAGUUUAUGAAUAUGCCAAAAACUGUGACAAAAAAGCGAAAGAAAAAAGGCAAUAAGGCUAAAAAAUACAGUCAAGUUUCUGAGAAUGUUGACGAUGAAUAUUUGGCAAAUGAUCUGGCAGAACCAGAUCCAUUUAGAAUGUGUGUAAACGUAUUACAUGUGGUAUCUCCGGAUUGCAUUUAUGUUGGUGACGUGAGCUGUACAAAAGUUAUAAAAGACAUGAUGGAAAAAUUGCAACAGUUUUAUAAUGCGUAUAAAUCUGGAGAAAGCGAAGAGUGGAAGCAAAACGACGUUUGUGUAGCUUAUUCUGCUAAGGAUAAAUUUUACCACCGUGCGAAAAUAAUCGAAAUUGCUUCACCAACAAAAGUCGUGGUGUUCUUGUAUGAUAUCGGCAUUACAGAGACAGUGGGAAUUCAAGAUUUGCAAACCUUACACCCAGACUAUGCAAAUAUACCAUCACGGGCAUUUAAAGUUAAAUUAGCUGGAAUUCUUCCCUGUGGCGGAUCAGCAACAUGGGUUUCUUCGUCUUGCCAAGUGCUAACUGAUAUUAUAAACGAAAAUCAACAUUCGCUAUUUUAUAUAUCCAAAGUGGCAGGCAUAGAAGAUGAUGCUAUAUGCGUUGUGCUUUGGGUUCGAGAAACAAGACUGGAAGGGGCAUUGGCUCCAACUAUUGUUGAAAUCAAUUCAGUCAAUCAAAUGCUGAUUAAGAAAGGCGUUGCUCUGCCAGUCAGAGGAUACAAAGAUGAGGAAGAGAAAGUAUUGGCUGUUGACUUGAGACAGCAGUUGCAACAAAAUGAUGAAAAACAACAUUUCACCGAUGUUGAAUGGGUGGCAAAAAACAGAAUGCACGGUUCCCAUUCAGAUGUAAUGAGUGAUGCAUCAGUAGCCCCUUUCUCAAUCAAUAUGUCAGAAUCUGAUACUGCAAGCAGAGAAGAAAAUGACGAAUCUGAAGAUGAAUAUCCGAUACCUCCCCCCUUUUCAGCCUGGAUACCAGCAUCUCCAAUCAUAGAUGAUAAAUUCUGUGCAUUUUCCACUUAUGUGGACCUUAACUGUACCAUAUAUCUACACUCACCAAAACAAAAUGGCUAUACAUUGGCACAUAUCGAUGCUGCGCUGCAAGCCCACUUCAAAGAUUCAAAACCGCAGGCAUGUGACAUGUUUUGGGCACCAAAUGACCUUUGUAUUGCUCAAUAUCAUGUUGACAAGAAGUGGUACAGAGCUCAAGUUCUUGAACUCUUAGAGAAUGAUGAAGUCAAGGUGGUCUUUGUAGAUUAUGGAAAUGUAGAUGAAUGCAAACUUGGUACGUUGAGAAAACGGGUCAUUAUGGAACACAUUCCAAUUCAAGCUACAAAAUGUGUGGUACACGGUCUAAUCCCAGAUACACCAGACGAUAAGUGGAGUAUAUCCAAUUUAGAUACAAUCCACGCACUGGUAGUUGACAAAAAGAACGACAUUACGAUUCUGGAUAGAAAAUCGGAUCACCUUGUUAUAUCAAUAAACCUUAGAGAAUUCCAAGGAAUAGAUUUAAUUUGUUAUUUACGAUACACUCUGCAUUUCCAAAUCCGUGAAUUGGACGUAGAUUCUCGUCACGACAGUUCGGAUGAUGCGGAUGUGAUUAUUGAAGGAAGCAUUGAAGGCUGUGAUCCCAGAAGUACUUCAGAGCCGAUGUUUCAACUGUCUACGAGUCUUGAAUCCAAAUCUCCAGAAAUGAAACCUGCAAAUUUCGAUAAAAUAAUUUCUGGUUCGCUUGACAUCUCUGGAAUACAGAACCAUAUUACCACGAAUGAUUUUAAAGAAUCAAUUACUGUAUCUUCUACUCCACAAAAUGAAGUCGAUGAUGGCGGUCAUGACGAAGAAUCUGAAGAUAAUAACGUUUGCCCUCAAAAUUAUUAUAUGUUCGAUAUUCCAAAUCAUGUAGAAAUUAUAAAUCUUGAUCCGUGCCAUAUGAUAACCGCCACUGAGUUCUGUGCACAGCUCCACCCUUCCUCCGAACUCGAGUUUCUAAAUAUGUGUCACCAAGAACUCAAACGUGUUGAAAAUGAUAUGCAAGAAGAAGCAUGUGAUCAACCAGUGCUCAAAGAAGUGCUCCGUGCUGCGCCAAGUAUGGAAGUAAUGGUAUAUGGUACCGAGCUUCUAUAACUGAAAUUGAACCUGAUACUGAACGUGUCAAAGUAAUGUACAUGGACUAUGGAGACGAGGAACACCAGUACAUUGGAAAAAUACAUUCAUUGAAGAAAGACUGGCUGGACGUACCUGUCAUGACUUAUCGAUGUAAAUUAUGGAAUAUUCAUCAAGAUCAGGAUGCGGAAAUAUCUCUAGCGGUGAUGGUUCAGAAAGUUGAACAUGUAUUUUAUAGCGGA